RNAcentral lists this ribosomal RNA (500 nucleotides) under uncultured bacterium. RNAcentral describes it as "partial 16S ribosomal RNA". It matches the Rfam family "Bacterial small subunit ribosomal RNA", at positions 30 to 523 of the family's 1533-position model. The record is from RNAcentral.
AUUGAACGCUGGCGGAAUGCUUUACACAUGCAAGUCGAACGGCAGCACGGACUUCGGUCUGGUGGCGAGUGGCGAACGGGUGAGUAAUGUAUCGGAACGUGCCCAGUCGUGGGGGAUAACGUAGUGAAAAUUACGCUAAUACCGCAUACGAUCUAUGGAUGAAAGCGGGGGAUCGCAAGACCUAGCGCGAUUGGAGCGGCCGAUAUCAGAUUAGGUAGUUGGUGGGGUAAAGGCCCACCAAGCCAACGAUCUGUAGCUGGUCUGAGAUGACGACCAGCCACACUGGAACUGAGCCACGGUCCGGACUCCUACGGGAGGCAGCAGUGGGGAAUUUUGGACAAUGGGCGAAAGCCUGAUCCAGCCAUUCCGCGUGCAGGAUGAAGGCCCCCGGGUUGUAAACUGCUUUUGUACAGAACGAAAAGGUUUCUACUAAUACUAGGAGCUCAUGACGGUACUGUAAGAAUAAGCACCGGCUAACUACGUGCCAGCCGCCGCCGUAA